UUGGGCUUGCACUCCUGCCAGGUCUUCCCCAUCUGGCUUCCUUGGAUUGAUGUCAAUAUGAGAUCUUCUUGCUCCUAAUCCUUCAGGUGGUCCCCAGCCAAAUCAGAGCCAGCGAGAACAAACAUCAGCCUGGGAAGACCCAGUCCCUGCAGGGAAAUCACAGCCCACAGAAGGAAACCAAAUGCACAGUGGCUUCGAAAGGCAUCCAUUAAAGUGUGUGCUGAAGUGA
Pseudopipra pipra is the source of this 229-nucleotide long non-coding RNA. RefSeq lists it as uncharacterized. NCBI's taxonomy places the organism in Eukaryota, Metazoa, Chordata, Aves, Passeriformes, Pipridae. The transcript has 2 exons. The record is from RefSeq and is a predicted model, not a curated record.